UACGUAGGUGGCGAGCGUUGUCCGGAUUUACUGGGCGUAAAGAGCGCGCAGGCGGUCGUUCAAGUCGCGUGUGAAAGCCCCCGGCUCAACUGGGGAGGGUCACGCGAUACUGAUCGACUCGAAGGCAGGAGAGGGUAGUGGAAUUCCCGGUGUAGUGGUGAAAUGCGUAGAUAUCGGGAGGAACACCAGUGGCGAAGGCGACUACCUGGCCUGUUUCUUGACGCUGAGGCGCGAAAGCUAGGGGAGCAAACGGG
This 254-nucleotide ribosomal RNA is filed under the name uncultured bacterium. Its description in RNAcentral is "partial 16S ribosomal RNA". It matches the Rfam family "Bacterial small subunit ribosomal RNA", at positions 524 to 776 of the family's 1533-position model. The record is from RNAcentral.